Peromyscus leucopus (white-footed mouse) is the source of this 1123-nucleotide long non-coding RNA. RefSeq lists it as uncharacterized. The transcript has 3 exons. The record is from RefSeq and is a predicted model, not a curated record. Lineage: Eukaryota; Metazoa; Chordata; Mammalia; Rodentia; Cricetidae.
CAUCCUUGGGUGGUUCCAGCUCCAUCUUAACCUAAGGGCAGCUGCUAGGGUCCCGGGAGAAGAGAGGCAAUGUGACAGCUGCAUGAACCGGUUUCUAUGGACACAGGUGCACGGUUCUGUUCCCUGCUGUGUGUUAACGUUCAAUUGUUAAAACAGCCUUCUCGUUUUUUCCAGACGAGAAAGCGAGACUGCAAAGAAUGUGGCGGAAGUUCCCCCUUUGUUCCCUGGUUUCCAUUUUUUCCCUUCGUUCCUUUAAUUUAUCUGGCCUGGGUCUCCAUUUCCCAGCCUCCUCACGGUUUCCUGUGACCACGUGGCUCAAUUCCGUCCACUUGGAGAAGAGUGGAGAUGAUGUCUACAACUUAGGAUUGUGUCCUUAGCAAGACGCUGCUGGCUUCCCACACUCUUCCUCUCUCCAGUCUGGACUUCGGAGACUGCAGCAGCAGGCCAGCUUUGACCAUGAGCUGCACGCAGGUCAGGGAGCUGCAGAGAAACAGAGGAAACCUGGUCCCUGAAGCAUGUAAGAGCAAAGCUGUGUGCCCGCCCUAAAUCUACCCUCAAACUGAGCAAAUGAGGAAUGCUCUUCUCUUUCCUCUGAACCACCUGACCGACCAAGUUACAACCGUUUUGUACGUGUAUCCCCCCAGAACCCUAGGAUCAUAAGCUUAUGGCUUUUUGAAGUCCACGUUUGUGGACAUUCGUUGGAGAAGCAAGACUAAAAAAAAGCCCUUGCUGGUUGGCUCCCCAAAUGCAGGUGACAGACUGUGCUAACGCCUGACUUAGAGAGGAACUCAAAUGUGUCCGUUUGUCUGUGUGCCCAGCUGCCUCCUGCUUUUGGACUCAUCUCGGAUCAUUCACCAUAACAGCUAAGCUCCUCGUCCUUCCGGAAGCAUUUCAGGGAAGUAAUAAUAUGGCCAGCAGCCCCUCAUUAUUUCUCUUAUAAGCCCCAUGACUCUAAGUGCCCCCUUGAGACAGUCACUGGUUUGCACAUGGCUGUUUAAUCCUUCCUUGAAGGAUGCAUGUACACACGCAGGAUCUCAUGCACAGACAUGACAUGCAGGCUCACAUGUACACACACACACACACACACACACACACACACACACACACACACACACACAGGAGA